AUGAACGCCGGCGGUGUGCCUAAUACAUGCAAGUCGUACGCACUGGACCAACUGAUUGAUGGUGCUUGCACCUGAUUGACGAUGGAUCACCAGUGAGUGGCGGACGGGUGAGUAACAUGUAGGGUAACCUGCCCCGGAGCGGGGGAUAACAUUUGGAAACAGAUGCUAAUACCGCAUAACAACAAAAGCCACAUGGCUUUUGUUUGAAAGAUGGCUUUGGCUAUCACUCUGGGAUGGACCUGCGGUGCAUUAGCUAGUUGGUAAGGUAACGGCUUACCAAGGCGAUGAUGCAUAGCCGAGUUGAGAGACUGAUCGGCCACAAUGGAACUGAGACACGGUCCAUACUCCUACGGGAGGCAGCAGUAGGGAAUCUUCCACAAUGGGCGCAAGCCUGAUGGAGCAACACCGCGUGAGUGAAGAAGGGUUUCGGCUCGUAAAGCUCUGUUGGUAGUGAAGAAAGAUAGAGGUAGUAACUGGCCUUUAUUUGACGGUAAUUACUUAGAAAGUCACGGCUAACUACGUGCCAGCAGCCGCGGUAAUACGUAGGUGGCAAGCGUUGUCCGGAUUUAUUGGGCGUAAAGCGAGUGCAGGCGGUUCAAUAAGUCUGAUGUGAAAGCCUUCGGCUCAACCGGAGAAUUGCAUCAGAAACUGUUGAACUUGAGUGCAGAAGAGGAGAGUGGAACUCCAUGUGUAGCGGUGGAAUGCGUAGAUAUAUGGAAGAACACCAGUGGCGAAGGCGGCUCUCUGGUCUGCAACUGACGCUGAGGCUCGAAAGCAUGGGUAGCGAACAGGAUUAGAUACCCUGGUAGUCCAUGCCGUAAACGAUGAGUGCUAAGUGUUGGGAGGUUUCCGCCUCUCAGUGCUGCAGCUAACGCAUUAAGCACUCCGCCUGGGGAGUACGACCGCAAGGUUGAAACUCAAAGGAAUUGACGGGGGCCCGCACAAGCGGUGGAGCAUGUGGUUUAAUUCGAAGCAACGCGAAGAACCUUACCAGGUCUUGACAUCCAGUGCAAACCUAAGAGAUUAGGUGUUCCCUUCGGGGACGCUGAGACAGGUGGUGCAUGGCUGUCGUCAGCUCGUGUCGUGAGAUGUUGGGUUAAGUCCCGCAACGAGCGCAACCCUUGUCAUUAGUUGCCAUCAUUAAGUUGGGCACUCUAAUGAGACUGCCGGUGACAAACCGGAGGAAGGUGGGGAUGACGUCAAGUCAUCAUGCCCCUUAUGACCUGGGCUACGCACGUGCUACAAUGGACGGUACAACGAGAAGCGAACCUGCGAAGGCAAGCGGAUCUCUUAAAGCUGUUCUCAGUUCGGACUGUAGGCUGCAACUCGCCUACACGAAGCUGGAAUCGCUAGUAAUCGCGGAUCAGCACGCCGCGGUGAAUACGUUCCCGGGCCUUGCACUCACCGCCCGUCA
This 1414-nucleotide ribosomal RNA is filed under the name uncultured bacterium. RNAcentral's name for it is "bacterial SSU rRNA". It matches the Rfam family "Bacterial small subunit ribosomal RNA", at positions 29 to 1399 of the family's 1533-position model. The record is from RNAcentral.